CACGUAGGGCGCAAGCGUUGUCCGGAAUUAUUGGGCGUAAAGAGCUCGUAGGCGGUCUGUUGCGUCCGCUGUGAAAACUCGGGGCUUAACCCCGAGCCUGCAGUGGAUACGGGCAGACUAGAGGUAGGUAGGGGAGAAUGGAAUUCCCGGUGUAGCGGUGAAAUGCGCAGAUAUCUGGAGGAACACCGGUGGCGAAGGCGGCAUCCUGGACCAAUACUGACACUGAGGAGCGAAAGCCAGGGGAGCAAACGGG
Molecule: ribosomal RNA, 253 nt
Filed under: uncultured bacterium
Lineage: Bacteria
Description: partial 16S ribosomal RNA
Rfam family: Bacterial small subunit ribosomal RNA
Source: RNAcentral